This 484-nucleotide ribosomal RNA is filed under the name uncultured bacterium. RNAcentral describes it as "partial 16S ribosomal RNA". It matches the Rfam family "Bacterial small subunit ribosomal RNA", at positions 30 to 507 of the family's 1533-position model. The record is from RNAcentral.
AUUGAACGCUGGCGGCAGGCCUAACACAUGCAAGUCGAGCGGAUGAAGGGAGCUUGCUCCUGGAUUCAGCGGCGGACGGGUGAGUAAUGCCUAGGAAUCUGCCUGGCAGUGGGGGAUAACGUCCGUAAACGGGCGCUAAUACCGCAUACGUCCUGAGGGAGAAAGUGGGGGAUCUUCGGACCUCACGCUAUCAGAUGAGCCUAGGUCGUAUUAGCUAGUUGGUGGGGUAAAGGCCUACCAAGGCGACGAUCCGUAACUGGUCUGAGAGGAUGAUCAGUCACACUGGAACUGAGACACGGUCCAGACUCCUACGGGAGGCAGCAGUGGGGAAUAUUGCACAAUGGGUGAAAGCCUGAUCCAGCCAUGCCGCGUGUGUGCAGAAGGUCUUCGGAUUGUAAAACACUUUAAGUUGGGAGGAAGGGCAGUAAGUUAAUACCUUGCUGUUUUGACGUUACCAACAGAAUAAGCACCGGCUAACUUCGUG